Molecule: ribosomal RNA, 108 nt
Filed under: Pseudomonas graminis
Lineage: Bacteria; Pseudomonadati; Pseudomonadota; Gammaproteobacteria; Pseudomonadales; Pseudomonadaceae
Source: RNAcentral
CCAUAGAGCGUUGGAACCACCUGAUCCCAUCCCGAACUCAGCAGUGAAACGAUGCAUCGCCGAUGGUAGUGUGGGGUUUCCCCAUGUGAGAGUAGGUCAUCGUCAAGA